CCCCUGUAAUAAUGUUGCUCUGCCAGCCCAAUACACGAGAGGGGGACUAUAUAAGAAUCAAUGAAGCUGUCACUAUCACGAACCACCCCACGAUCUGGCAUAUUGGGUACAAUCGCAGAUAAAUACGGUAUAAGCACCACGCCUACGCAAUAUCUAUCAUUUACCCAUGGAUCCGAUGGAUAAACGCUAUACGAUCCUAAGCAUGUAUAUAGAUCGUAUCU
Molecule: long non-coding RNA, 221 nt
Filed under: Sorghum bicolor (sorghum)
Lineage: Eukaryota; Viridiplantae; Streptophyta; Magnoliopsida; Poales; Poaceae
Description: long non-coding RNA (SBIC_LNC017781)
Source: RNAcentral